GACGAACGCUGGCGGCGUGCUUAACACAUGCAAGUCGAACGGAAAGGCCCUGCUUUUGUGGGGUGCUCGAGUGGCGAACGGGUGAGUAACACGUGAGUAACCUGCCCUUGACUUUGGGAUAACUUCAGGAAACUGGGGCUAAUACCGGAUAGGAGCUCCUGCUGCAUGGCGGGGGUUGGAAAGUUUCGGCGGUUGGGGAUGGACUCGCGGCUUAUCAGCUUGUUGGUGGGGUAGUGGCUUACCAAGGCUUUGACGGGUAGCCGGCCUGAGAGGGUGACCGGCCACAUUGGGACUGAGAUACGGCCCAGACUCCUACGGGAGGCAGCAGUGGGGAAUAUUGCACAAUGGGCGGAAGCCUGAUGCAGCAACGCCGCGUGCGGGAUGACGGCCUUCGAGUUGUAAACCGCUUUCGCCUGUGACGAAGCGUGAGUGACGGUAAUGGGUAAAGAAGCACCGGCUAACUACGUG
RNAcentral lists this ribosomal RNA (468 nucleotides) under uncultured bacterium. Its description in RNAcentral is "partial 16S ribosomal RNA". It matches the Rfam family "Bacterial small subunit ribosomal RNA", at positions 28 to 507 of the family's 1533-position model. The record is from RNAcentral.